Molecule: ribosomal RNA, 254 nt
Filed under: uncultured bacterium
Lineage: Bacteria
Description: partial 16S ribosomal RNA
Rfam family: Bacterial small subunit ribosomal RNA
Source: RNAcentral
UACGUAGGGUGCGAGCGUUGUCCGGAAUUAUUGGGCGUAAAGAGCUUGUAGGCGGUUUGUCGCGUCUGCCGUGAAAACGUCCGGGGCUCAACCCCGGACUUGCGGUGGGUACGGGCAGACUAGAGUGUGGUAGGGGAGACUGGAAUUCCUGGUGUAGCGGUGAAAUGCGCAGAUAUCAGGAGGAACACCGAUGGCGAAGGCAGGUCUCUGGGCCACUACUGACGCUGAGAGCGAAAGCGUGGGGAGCGAACAGG